RNAcentral lists this ribosomal RNA (1192 nucleotides) under Candidatus Neptunichlamydia sp. Its description in RNAcentral is "partial 23S ribosomal RNA". It matches the Rfam family "Bacterial large subunit ribosomal RNA", at positions 806 to 2056 of the family's 2925-position model. Lineage: Bacteria; Pseudomonadati; Chlamydiota; Chlamydiia; Parachlamydiales; Simkaniaceae. The record is from RNAcentral.
GACCUGUGGGUAGGGGGGAAGUGCCAAUCUAGCUCGGAAAUAGCUCGUACUCUCCGAAAUGCAUUUAGGUGCAGCGUAUUUAUGGUUUAUAAGAGGUAGAGCUACUGAUUGGAUGCGGGGGCUUCACCGCCUACCAAUUCCGGACAAACUCCGAAUGCUUAUAAAUUAAAUAAAUGCAGUGAGGGCAUGGGUGCUAAGGUCCAUGUCCGAGAGGGAAAGAACCCAGACCAUCAGCUAAGGUCCCCAAAUAUAUACUAAGUUGAAAUAACGAGGUUUGAUUGCUUAGACAGCUAGGAUGUUGGCUUGGAAGCAGCCAUUCAUUUAAAGAGUGCGUAACAGCUCACUAGUCGAGCGAUCAAGCAUGGACAAUAAUCGGGCAUAAGUAUAUUACCGAAGCUAUGGACAGUACAUUAGAUGUACUAGUGGUAGGAGAGCAUUCUGUUUGCGCCGAAGCUUGUCUGCGAGGAUAAGUGGAGCGGAUAGAAAAGCAAAUGUAGGGAUAAGUAACGAUAAUGCGGGUGAGAAACCCGCACACCGAAAGACCAAGGAUUCCGUGGCCAUGCUAAUCAGCCACGGGUUAGUCGGGACCUAACGCGAACCCGAACGGGGUAGUGGAUGGACAACGGGUUAAUAUUCCCGUACCUGCUCUCAUUGAAAGUGACGGAUCUCAGGAGUUGCUGCGUACUGACGGAAUAGUACGUUGAAGCGCAAGCGAUAGUACACAGAAGCUACGGUGGAUGUGAUAAUGUAGCGAAUGAGGUUCCAAGAAAAGCGAGAGAAGCAGCCCGUACCGUAAACCGACACAGGUGGUUGGGAAGAGAAUUCUAAGGUGCUCGAGUGAUUCAUAGCUAAGGAACUAGGCAAAAUGGUCUCGUAACUUCGGGAGAAGAGACGCCAGCAGUAAUGCUGGCCGCAGUGAAUAGGCCCAGGCGACUGUUUCACAAAAAAACAGGACUAUGCAAAAUCGAAAGAUGCAGUAUAUGGUCUGACACCUGCCCGGUGCUGGAAGGUUAAGUGGAGCUGUUAUACGUAAGUAGAAGCAGUGAAAUGAAGCCCCAGUAAACGGCGGCCGUAACUAUAACGGUCCUAAGGUAGCGAAAUUCCUUGUCGGGUAAGUUCCGACCUGCACGAAUGGUGCAACGAUCUGGGCACUGUCUCAGCUAUGAGCUCGGUGAAAUUGUAGUAUCGGUGA